This is a non-coding RNA of Sus scrofa (pig), 1052 nucleotides long. NCBI's taxonomy places the organism in Eukaryota, Metazoa, Chordata, Mammalia, Artiodactyla, Suidae. The record is from RefSeq and is a predicted model, not a curated record.
AAAGUAGAAGCAUACAUUUAUAUUUAAAAAACCAACACUUUUUUUUAGUGUUCUUGCUCUGAAAUUCCUAGUUAGUCAAAUGUUGAAUGUCCUGAAUUGAUUCUUGUAUAGGACAGGUUUGGCUGUGAUAAAUUUCUGUUGUGAAUUUUCAGUACUAAACCCCAGAAUUGUUUGCCUCAUAGUCAUGUUCAGAAUGAGUUGUGUGAGUUUACUUCUGCUCCACAUGGUCACACAGGUACACAGCUGAUGGAGGCAUCACCAUUUGUUGCAAAGCUUGUUAUCAAACAAGGAAGCGAGUGGAGAAUUUUCUCUAUCUCAGCCUGGAGGUGACACAUAUCUUUUCUGCUCACAUUUCAUUGGCCAUAACUAGUCAGAUGAUGCUGAGAAACAUAGUGGAACAUUUGACAUAUGAAAAAGGUCCGAGUUGCAGGAAUUGGAGAAGAUGUCAAAAGCUAAAAUACUUACUGCUCUCAGUAUAAUGAGGCAGGUAGCAUCAUUUGCUCAAUUCUUACAUCUGAGAAAACGCAGAGAAGGGAAAUACAAUCCCCUUUUUGUGGGUGUGGCUGAAACCUAUGACCUGCUCCUAACCAACAGAGUAUGGCAAGAGUGAUGGAGCUGAUAUUUUCUAUGAUUGUAUUUCAUUACAUAUGAGUCCCUCUCAGCGGAGUCUGCCGGCCUUGAAGGAACAACUGGCAUGUUGUGAAUUGCCCAUGAAGAGAGUCACGCAGCAGAGAACAGUGAGUGGCCACUAGACCUAAAAGCGGACCUCCAGUCAACAGCCAGGAAGAAAUGGAUCUUCAGUCCUACUGAAGUCCAUCUUCAGUCCUAUAAGAAAAUGAGUUUUGCCAACAACCUGAAAUAACUUGAGAUAGAUUCUUCCAAGCCUCCAGAUGUGAAUGCAGCCCCGCCAAUACCUUGACUGCAAACUUGGGAGAUUCCAAUUAAAGGAUCCAGCUAAUCUAUGCUAGACUUCUGACACAUGAUAACUGUGAGAUAAUAAAUGUGUGUUAUUUUAAGCUGCUAAAUUUGUGGUAAUUUUGUUAUACAUCAUA